Molecule: ribosomal RNA, 245 nt
Filed under: uncultured bacterium
Lineage: Bacteria
Description: partial 16S ribosomal RNA
Rfam family: Bacterial small subunit ribosomal RNA
Source: RNAcentral
UACGGGGGUGGCGAGCGUUACUCGGAUUUAUUGGGUGUAAAGGGCAGGUAGGCGGCUAUGCAAGUUGGGGGUGAAAUCCUUUGGCUCAACCAAAGAACUGCCCUCAAAACUGCAUAGCUUGAGGACAAGAGAGGAAAGCGGAAUUCCCGGUGUAAGGGUGAAAUCUGUAGAUAUCGGGAGGAACACCCGUGGCGAAAGCGGCUUUCUGGCUUGUCCCUGACGCUCAGCUGCGAAAGCUAGGGGAG